GAUGAACGCUGGCGGCGUGCCUAAUACAUGCAAGUCGAACGAACGGACGAGAAGCUUGCUUCUCUGAUGUUAGCGGCGGACGGGUGAGUAACACGUGGAUAACCUACCUAUAAGACUGGGAUAACUUCGGGAAACCGGAGCUAAUACCGGAUGAUAUUUUGAACCGCAUGGUUCAAAAGUGAAAGACGGUCUUGCUGUCACUUAUAGAUGGAUCCGCGCUGCAUUAGCUAGUUGGUAAGGUAACGGCUUACCAAGGCAACGAUGCAUAGCCGACCUGAGAGGGUGAUCGGCCACACUGGAACUGAGACACGGUCCAGACUCCUACGGGAGGCAGCAGUAGGGAAUCUUCCGCAAUGGGCGAAAGCCUGACGGAGCAACGCCGCGUGAGUGAUGAAGGUCUUCGGAUCGUAAAACUCUGUUAUUAGGGAAGAACAUAUGUGUAAGUAACUGUGCACAUCUUGACGGUACCUAAUCAGAAAGCCACGGCUAACUACGUGCCAGCAGCCGCGGUAAUACGUAGGUGGCAAGCGUUAUCCGGAAUUAUUGGGCGUAAAGCGCGCGUAGGCGGUUUUUUAAGUCUGAUGUGAAAGCCCACGGCUCAACCGUGGAGGGUCAUUGGAAACUGGAAAACUUGAGUGCAGAAGAGGAAAGUGGAAUUCCAUGUGUAGCGGUGAAAUGCGCAGAGAUAUGGAGGAACACCAGUGGCGAAGGCGACUUUCUGGUCUGUAACUGACGCUGAUGUGCGAAAGCGUGGGGAUCAAACAGGAUUAGAUACCCUGGUAGUCCACGCCGUAAACGAUGAGUGCUAAGUGUUAGGGGGUUUCCGCCCCUUAGUGCUGCAGCUAACGCAUUAAGCACUCCGCCUGGGGAGUACGACCGCAAGGUUGAAACUCAAAGGAAUUGACGGGGACCCGCACAAGCGGUGGAGCAUGUGGUUUAAUUCGAAGCAACGCGAAGAACCUUACCAAAUCUUGACAUCCUUUGACAACUCUAGAGAUAGAGCCUUCCCCUUCGGGGGACAAAGUGACAGGUGGUGCAUGGUUGUCGUCAGCUCGUGUCGUGAGAUGUUGGGUUAAGUCCCGCAACGAGCGCAACCCUUAAGCUUAGUUGCCAUCAUUAAGUUGGGCACUCUAAGUUGACUGCCGGUGACAAACCGGAGGAAGGUGGGGAUGACGUCAAAUCAUCAUGCCCCUUAUGAUUUGGGCUACACACGUGCUACAAUGGACAAUACAAAGGGCAGCGAAACCGCGAGGUCAAGCAAAUCCCAUAAAGUUGUUCUCAGUUCGGAUUGUAGUCUGCAACUCGACUACAUGAAGCUGGAAUCGCUAGUAAUCGUAGAUCAGCAUGCUACGGUGAAUACGUUCCCGGGUCU
RNAcentral lists this ribosomal RNA (1372 nucleotides) under uncultured bacterium. RNAcentral's name for it is "bacterial SSU rRNA". It matches the Rfam family "Bacterial small subunit ribosomal RNA", at positions 28 to 1381 of the family's 1533-position model. The record is from RNAcentral.